CCUACGUGAGGCAGCAGUGGGGGAUAUUGCACAAUGGGGGAAACCCUGAUGCAGCGACGCCGCGUGUGGGAAGACGGUCCUCUGGAUUGUAAACCACUUUCCCCAGGGACGAAGAUGACGGUACCUGGGGAGGAAGCUCCGGCUAACUACGUGUCAGCAGCCGCGGUAAUACGUAGGGAGCGAGCGUUGUCCGGAAUUACUGGGUGUAAAGGGAGCGUAGGCGGGACUGCAAGUUGGGUGUCAAAUCUACCGGCCCAACCGGUAGCCGCACUCAAAACUGCAGUUCUUGAGUGAAGUAGAGGCAGGCGGAAUUCCUAGUGUAGCGGUGAAAUGCGUAGAUAUUAGGAGGAACACCAGUGGCGAAGGCGGCCUGCUGGGCUUUUACUGACGCUGAGGCUCGAAAGUGUGGGGAGCAAACAGGAUUAGAUACCCCAGUAGUC
RNAcentral lists this ribosomal RNA (440 nucleotides) under uncultured bacterium. Its description in RNAcentral is "partial 16S ribosomal RNA". It matches the Rfam family "Bacterial small subunit ribosomal RNA", at positions 338 to 795 of the family's 1533-position model. The record is from RNAcentral.